Molecule: transfer RNA, 68 nt
Filed under: Cyanobacteria bacterium SBLK
Lineage: Bacteria; Bacillati; Cyanobacteriota
Description: tRNA-Leu
Rfam family: tRNA
About the family: Transfer RNA (tRNA) molecules are approximately 80 nucleotides in length.
Source: RNAcentral
ACUCGCCUAAUGGUAAGGCACUUGACUCAAAAUCAAGCGAUUGCGGGUUCAAUUCCCGCGUAUCACCA